GAUGAACGCUGGCGGCGUGCCUAAUACAUGCAAGUCGAGCGAACAGACGAGGAGCUUGCUCCUCUGACGUUAGCGGCGGACGGGUGAGUAACACGUGGAUAACCUACCUAUAAGACUGGGAUAACUUCGGGAAACCGGAGCUAAUACCGGAUAAUAUAUUGAACCGCAUGGUUCAAUAGUGAAAGACGGUUUUGCUGUCACUUAUAGAUGGAUCCGCGCCGCAUUAGCUAGUUGGUAAGGUAACGGCUUACCAAGGCAACGAUGCGUAGCCGACCUGAGAGGGUGAUCGGCCACACUGGAACUGAGACACGGUCCAGACUCCUACGGGAGGCAGCAGUAGGGAAUCUUCCGCAAUGCACGAAAGCUUGACGGAGCAACGCCGCGUGAGUGAUGAAGGUCUUCGGAUCGUAAAGCUCUGUUAGUAGGAAAGAACAAAUGUGUAAGUAACUAUGCACGUCUUGACGGUACCUAAUCAGAAAGCCACGGCUAACUACGUG
Molecule: ribosomal RNA, 497 nt
Filed under: uncultured bacterium
Lineage: Bacteria
Description: partial 16S ribosomal RNA
Rfam family: Bacterial small subunit ribosomal RNA
Source: RNAcentral